This 72-nucleotide transfer RNA is filed under the name Loxodonta africana (African savanna elephant). It matches the Rfam family "tRNA". Rfam says of the family: Transfer RNA (tRNA) molecules are approximately 80 nucleotides in length. Their secondary structure includes four short double-helical elements and three loops (D, anti-codon, and T loops). Further hydrogen bonds mediate the characteristic L-shaped molecular structure. tRNAs have two regions of fundamental functional importance: the anti-codon, which is responsible for specific mRNA codon recognition, and the 3' end, to which the tRNAs corresponding amino acid is attached (by aminoacyl-tRNA synthetases). tRNAs cope with the degeneracy of the genetic code in two manners: having more than one tRNA (with a specific anti-codon) for a particular amino acid; and 'wobble' base-pairing, i.e. permitting non-standard base-pairing at the 3rd anti-codon position. The record is from Rfam by way of RNAcentral. Lineage: Eukaryota; Metazoa; Chordata; Mammalia; Proboscidea; Elephantidae.
GCCCUGGUGGCACAAUGGUUAGGAGCUCGGCUGCCAACCGAAAGGUUGGUGGUUCCAACCCACUCAGUGGCU